AACGAACGCUGGCGGCAGGCUUAACACAUGCAAGUCGAACGCCCCGCCCGGGGAGUGGCGGACGGGUGGGUAGCCCGUGGGGAUCUACCCAUCCCUACGGCCUACCGCAUGGUAACGUGUGCUAUUACCGUAUACGCCCUAAGGGGGAAAGAGUUAUCGGGGUUGGAUGAGGCCGCGUCGGAUUAGCUGGUUGGUGGGGUAAAGGCCUGCCAAGGCGACGAUCCAUAGCUGGGCUGAUUGGAUGAUAAGUCACAUUGGGACUGAGACACGGACCAAACUCCGACGGGAGGCAGCAGUGUGGAAUAUUGGACAAGGGGGGCAAGCCUGAUCAAGCCAUGCCGGGUGAGUGAGGAAGGCCGUAGUGUUGUAAAGCUCUUUCAGCGGAGAAGAUAAUGACGGUAUCCGGUGAAGAAGCCCCGGCUAACUUCGUG
This 431-nucleotide ribosomal RNA is filed under the name uncultured bacterium. Its description in RNAcentral is "partial 16S ribosomal RNA". It matches the Rfam family "Bacterial small subunit ribosomal RNA", at positions 29 to 507 of the family's 1533-position model. The record is from RNAcentral.